AAAGCCUCUAAGCAUCAGGUAACAUCAAAUCGUACCCCAAACCGACACAGGUGGUCAGGUAGAGAAUACCAAGGCGCUUGAGAGAACUCGGGUGAAGGAACUAGGCAAAAUGGUGCCGUAACUUCGGGAGAAGGCACGCUGAUAUGUAGGUGAAGCGACUUGCUCGUGGAGCUGAAAUCAGUCGAAGAUACCAGCUGGCUGCAACUGUUUAUUAAAAACACAGCACUGUGCAAACACGAAAGUGGACGUAUACGGUGUGACGCCUGCCCGGUGCCGGAAGGUUAAUUGAUGGGGUUAGCGGCAACGCGAAGCUCUUGAUCGAAGCCCCGGUAAACGGCGGCCGUAACUAUAACGGUCCUAAGGUAGCGAAAUUCCUUGUCGGGUAAGUUCCGACCUGCACGAAUGGCGUAAUGAUGGCCAGGCUGUCUCCACCCGAGACUCAGUGAAAUUGAACUCGCUGUGAAGAUGCAGUGUACCCGCGGCAAGACGGAAAGACCCCGUGAACCUUUACUAUAGCUUGACACUGAACAUUGAGCCUUGAUGUGUAGGAUAGGUGGGAGGCUUUGAAGUGUGGACGCCAGUCUGCAUGGAGCCGACCUUGAAAUACCACCCUUUAAUGUUUGAUGUUCUAACGUGGGCCCGUAAUCCGGGUUGCGGACAGUGUCUGGUGGGUAGUUUGACUGGGGCGGUCUCCUCCUAAAGAGUAACGGAGGAGCACGAAGGUUGGCUAAUCCUGGUCGGACAUCAGGAGGUUAGUGCAAUGGCAUAAGCCAGCUUGACUGCGAGCGUGACGGCGCGAGCAGGUGCGAAAGCAGGUCAUAGUGAUCCGGUGGUUCUGAAUGGAAGGGCCAUCGCUCAACGGAUAAAAGGUACUCCGGGGAUAACAGGCUGAUACCGCCCAAGAGUUCAUAUCGACGGCGGUGUUUGGCACCUCGAUGUCGGCUCAUCACAUCCUGGGGCUGAAGUAGGUCCCAAGGGUAUGGCUGUUCGCCAUUUAAAGUGGUACGCGAGCUGGGUUUAGAACGUCGUGAGACAGUUCGGUCCCUAUCUGCCGUGGGCGCUGGAGAACUGAGGGGGGCUGCUCCUAGUACGAGAGGACCGGAGUGGACGCAUCACUGGUGUUCGGGUUGUCAUGCCAAUGGCACUGCCCGGUAGCUAAAUGCGGAAGAGAUAAGUGCUGAAAGCAUCUAAGCACGAAACUUGCCCCGAGAUGAGUUCUCCCUGACUCCUUGAGAGUCCUGAAGGAACGUUGAAGACGACGACGUUGAUAGGCCGGGUGUGUAAGCGCAGCGAUGCGUUGAGCUAACCGGUACUAAUGAACCGUGAGGCUUAACCUU
Molecule: ribosomal RNA, 1337 nt
Filed under: Escherichia coli
Lineage: Bacteria; Pseudomonadati; Pseudomonadota; Gammaproteobacteria; Enterobacterales; Enterobacteriaceae
Description: partial 23S ribosomal RNA
Rfam family: Bacterial large subunit ribosomal RNA
Source: RNAcentral